GGGUUGUGAGGUUAAGCGACUAAGCGUACACGGUGGAUGCCCUGGCAGUCAGAGGCGAUGAAGGACGUGCUAAUCUGCGAUAAGCGCCGGUAAGGUGAUAUGAACCGUUAUAACCGGCGAUUUCCGAAUGGGGAAACCCAGUGUGACUCGUCACACUAUCAUUAACUGAAUCCAUAGGUUAAUGAGGCGAACCGGGGGAACUGAAACAUCUAAGUACCCCGAGGAAAAGAAAUCAACCGAGAUUCCCCCAGUAGCGGCGAGCGAACGGGGAGGAGCCCAGAGCCUGAAUCAGCAUGUGUGUUAGUGGAAGCGUCUGGAAAGGCGCGCGAUACAGGGUGACAGCCCCGUACACAAAAGCGCAUGUGCUGUGAGCUCGAUGAGUAGGGCGGGACACGUGGUAUCCUGUCUGAAUAUGGGGGGACCAUCCUCCAAGGCUAAAUACUCCUGACUGACCGAUAGUGAACCAGUACCGUGAGGGAAAGGCGAAAAGAACCCCGGCGAGGGGAGUGAAAAAGAACCUGAAACCGUGUACGUACAAGCAGUGGGAGCACAGGUUUACCUGUGUGACUGCGUACCUUUUGUAUAAUGGGUCAGCGACUUAUAUUCUGUAGCAAGGUUAACCGAAUAGGGGAGCCGGAGGGAAACCGAGUCUUAACCGGGCGUUAAGUUGCAGGGUAUAGACCCGAAACCCGGUGAUCUAGCCAUGGGCAGGUUGAAGGUUGGGUAACACUAACUGGAGGACCGAACCGACUAAUGUUGAAAAAUUAGCGGAUGACCUGUGGCUGGGGGUGAAAGGCCAAUCAAACCGGGAGAUAGCUGGUUCUCCCCGAAAGCUAUUUAGGUAGCGCCUCGUGAAUUCAUCUCCGGGGGUAGAGCACUGUUUCGGCUAGGGGGCCAUCCCGGCUUACCAACCCGAUGCAAACUGCGAAUACCGGAGAAUGUUAUCACGGGAGACACACGGCGGGUGCUAACGUCCGUCGUGAAGAGGGAAACAACCCAGACCGCCAGCUAAGGUCCCAAAGUCAUGGUUAAGUGGGAAACGAUGUGGGAAGGCCCAGACAGCCAGGAUGUUGGCUUAGAAGCAGCCAUCAUUUAAAGAAAGCGUAAUAGCUCACUGGUCGAGUCGGCCUGCGCGGAAGAUGUAACGGGGCUAAACCAUGCACCGAAGCUGCGGCAGCGACGCUGAUGCGUUGUUGGGUAGGGGAGCGUUCUGUAAGCCUGUGAAGGUGGCCUGUGAGGGUUGCUGGAGGUAUCAGAAGUGCGAAUGCUGACAUAAGUAACGAUAAAGCGGGUGAAAAGCCCGCUCGCCGGAAGACCAAGGGUUCCUGUCCAACGUUAAUCGGGGCAGGGUGAGUCGACCCCUAAGGCGAGGCCGAAAGGCGUAGUCGAUGGGAAACGGGUUAAUAUUCCCGUA
This 1414-nucleotide ribosomal RNA is filed under the name Salmonella enterica. RNAcentral describes it as "bacterial LSU rRNA". It matches the Rfam family "Bacterial large subunit ribosomal RNA", at positions 1 to 1443 of the family's 2925-position model. Lineage: Bacteria; Pseudomonadati; Pseudomonadota; Gammaproteobacteria; Enterobacterales; Enterobacteriaceae. The record is from RNAcentral.